Long non-coding RNA from Papaver somniferum (opium poppy), 1231 nucleotides. RefSeq lists it as uncharacterized. NCBI's taxonomy places the organism in Eukaryota, Viridiplantae, Streptophyta, Magnoliopsida, Ranunculales, Papaveraceae. The transcript has 6 exons. The record is from RefSeq and is a predicted model, not a curated record.
CAAAAGUAAACUACAUUGAAUUUGAGGAGGAAAGGAAACGAUACAAACAAAAAAAAAAUUCUAGUGUCAUUCAACAAACACCCCUAUCUUCAAAGUCUCGUAACUUUAUAAGUUGGACACGGUAUGGAGAAAACUAAAGAAGAUGUAAUAACUGGUGGUAAGAAAGUUAAAGAUGGUGCAACUUUGGGGUUUCAAUGGACAAAAAAGAUACUAAGACCACCUAGGAAUCUAUUUUACAAAAACAAAUGUGUUUUUCCAAAUCUGACGGCUCUAGAUGAGCGUGUUAUGGCGAUCGACGACCACUAUUUCUUUAAAAGUGCAAAAGACAAAUUGUGGCUAAGAAUGAACCCUCAUCUCAUGCUGGGAUCCGACGUCCCAGAUCUCUUUGCAUUUGAUCCCCUCUUCCGUUACAAAACCCAUAACCACUGAAUCCUCAUUUCACUUAACCUCCUCUUCCGUUAAAAGAAAUAAAUUAGGGCUAUUCAAUUCCUUAGAAUCAUUUAAUUUGAUGCUUUACGGUAGCUCUAUAUUCCCUUACAUAAACCUCAACAUAGGUUAUCAUCUUCCCAUGUUUCUUCAUUUCUUUCUUCCGCAUACUCUCUCGAGACUAUUAGGCUGACCAAAUAAUAAUCAUUCAAAGCUGAAAAAGAAAACGCAUCGAAGGAACUCAAUAGCAUUUCUUCAAAGAUGAAUCUCAAUUAUCAAUCAUAAACCAGAUUUUGGUUGGUGGAGGACUUUGAGAAAAGAAUCAACAUUCAUAAUGAAUAUUGGUGGUGUACUUAGCAUACAGCUUUUAUCCAUGAUCCAUCGCAGAUGUGGUGGUCGUCGUUCGUGAUGGUGGUGUUUUUUGUAUGCAGUGGUGGUGGAGACAUGGCGAUUACUGAUAUAUAUUAUACUAUGACCUCUUCUUUUUUCUGGUGAGGAUGAUGUUGAUGGAUGUCUUGAGUAUUAUGUAGAUCUUGCAGGAGCUGCAAAUUCCAAGCACAAGAUUCCUUUUAACGUCCCAAAUCCCACUCAAGGACAUUCAAGAUUCAUGUUCUCAAGGAACCUUGGUUGAUCCCUGGUUAUACAUGUUUCUUCUUCAAUCUUUGUAAACUCUUGGUUACAUUGUCCUGUAACUUUUUUAGGGGUACAUACCCAUCUUGUAAAUCCAAUUUCAUAGAUAAGAUAAUCAUAUAUGUAAAUUCCUUUUGAUGUUAAUGAUGGAUUUAGGCAAGGUUUUUUUGUGAUA